This 815-nucleotide ribosomal RNA is filed under the name uncultured bacterium. RNAcentral describes it as "bacterial SSU rRNA". It matches the Rfam family "Bacterial small subunit ribosomal RNA", at positions 8 to 804 of the family's 1533-position model. The record is from RNAcentral.
AGAGGUUGAUUUUGGCUCAGGAUGAACGCUGGCGGCAUGCCUAAUACAUGCAAGUCGAACGAAGUCUUUAGGAAGCUUGCUUCCAAAGAGACUUAGUGGCGAACGGGUGAGUAACACGUAGGUAACCUGCCCAUGUGCCCGGGAUAACUGCUGGAAACGGUAGCUAAAACCGGAUAGGUAUGAGGGAGGCAUCUUCCUCAUAUUAAAGCACCUUCGGGUGUGAACAUGGAUGGACCUGCGGCGCAUUAGCUGGUUGGUGAGGUAACGGCCCACCAAGGCGAUGAUGCGUAGCCGACCUGAGAGGGUGAACGGCCACAUUGGGACUGAGACACGGCCCAAACUCCUACGGGAGGCAGCAGUAGGGAAUUUUCGUCAAUGGGGGGAACCCUGAACGAGCAAUGCCGCGUGUGUGAAGAAGGUCUUCGGAUCGUAAAGCACUGUUGUAAGUGAAGAAUGCCAUAUAGAGGAAAUGCUAUGUGGGUGACGGUAGCUUACCAGAAAGCCACGGCUAACUACGUGCCAGCAGCCGCGGUAAUACGUAGGUGGCAAGCGUUAUCCGGAAUCAUUGGGCGUAAAGGGUGCGUAGGUGGCACGAUAAGUCUGAAGUAAAAGGCAACAGCUCAACUGUUGUAUGCUUUGGAAACUGUCGAGCUAGAGUGCAGAAGAGGGCGAUGGAAUUCCAUGUGUAGCGGUAAAAUGCGUAGAUAUAUGGAGGAACACCAGUGGCGAAGGCGGUCGCCUGGUCUGUAACUGACACUGAUGCACGAAAGCGUGGGGAGCAAAUAGGAUUAGAUACCCUAGUAGUCCACGCCGUA